GCUGGGAGCACGCGGGGCGGUCCGGCAGUUGGCGAGGCGCGCGGACUCGGGGAGGCUCCGGCGCUGGGCUCCGGGUCGUGGUCCGCGUGGGCACCUGCUGUCCCUGGAAGGGGCUCCGGCCAGGAAGAAAACACUGUACAGUUCCAUGCAUCCUCUGGGAAAUCUUGCAAAGUAUCCCCUGCAGGUUACUCAGAAAGGGCUUUUAAAACUAAAUGAAAACAUGUCUGUGCUUCCAAAGAGGUAAAAUUAUUAGCCUGUUAAAUUUUUAAAAUCCUUGAGUGCCAGUUAGAAUUUAAGGCCCUAAUUUCUUACAUUUCAGAAGUAAGGGAAUACCUACUUCAAAGAAAAAGGAAGGAGCUGAGGGUGGAGCGAAUCCAUCAUGGCCCUGGCUUCAAUGCCCAAUACCAAAAAUAAACAGAACCAAGGAAAAGCAAAACCCC
RNAcentral lists this long non-coding RNA (440 nucleotides) under Heterocephalus glaber (naked mole-rat). Its description in RNAcentral is "lncRNA (ENSHGLG00000032943.1)". Lineage: Eukaryota; Metazoa; Chordata; Mammalia; Rodentia; Bathyergidae. The record is from RNAcentral.